CCGAUGUGGAGAUUCCCAGAAGGUCACUCUCACCGGGCUCUGUCCAAGUGGCAUAGAGAAGCCCAGGGCUCUGGCCUGUGACGUACAGUCCUUUCCCAUGACAUCAGAGAUCAAGCCGGGCCCUGGGUCUGUGUCUGCAUAUUCCUACAGCCGCUCAGAGUCCUGUGGACGGUGACCGAGGAGACAAACCACGCAGGAAAUGGCC
Small nucleolar RNA from Echinops telfairi (small Madagascar hedgehog), 205 nucleotides. RefSeq annotates it as small nucleolar RNA SNORA73 family. The record is from RefSeq and is a predicted model, not a curated record. The transcript has a single exon. Lineage: Eukaryota; Metazoa; Chordata; Mammalia; Afrosoricida; Tenrecidae.